AAUUGUGAAUAGUAAAGUGAUU
RNAcentral lists this small nuclear RNA (22 nucleotides) under Arabidopsis thaliana (thale cress). Its description in RNAcentral is "snRNA_11180". Lineage: Eukaryota; Viridiplantae; Streptophyta; Magnoliopsida; Brassicales; Brassicaceae. The record is from RNAcentral.